Molecule: RNA transcript, 2203 nt
Organism: Cebus imitator (Panamanian white-faced capuchin)
Lineage: Eukaryota; Metazoa; Chordata; Mammalia; Primates; Cebidae
Gene name: dual specificity protein phosphatase 5-like
Exons: 2
Source: RefSeq, a predicted model, not a curated record
AUGUACUCACACAGGGGCUCAUUGACUCUCAUGACUGCACUGCUUCUGCAACUUGCCUCAUUUCUUCCUGUAAACAUUGGUAUCAAGGGAUUUAGGAACAGAGAAAUCCCUCCCUUCCUCUGCCUUGGAAGUGCCUACCAUGCGUCCAAGGGCGAGCUCCUCGCCAGCCUGCACAUCACAGCCCUGCUGAAUGUCUCCCGGCGGACCUCCGGGGCCUGCACGACCCGCCUACACGACAAACGGAUCCCUGCGGAAGACAGCCACACGGCUGACAUUAGCUCCCACUUUCAGGAAGCAAUAGACUUCAUUGACUGUCGGGGGAAAGGGAGGCAAGGUCCAGGUCCACUGAGAGGCUGGGACCUCCCGAUCACCCACCAUCUGCAUGGCUUACCUCAUGAAGACCAAGCAGCUCUGCCUGCAGGAGGCCUUCGAUAACAUCCAGCAGAGGAGGGGUAUGGUCUCACCCAACUUUGGCUUCAUGGGCCUGCUCCUGAAGUACGAAUCUGAGAUCCUGCCCUCCACGCCCAACCCCCCGCCUCCCUGCUGCCAAGGGGAGGCAGCAGGCUCUUCAUUGAGAGGCCCUUUGCAGACACUGAGCCCUGACACGCAGGGUGCCUACUGCACAUUCCUGCCUCGGUGCUGGCGCCGGUGCCCACCCGCUCGACAGUCCCGGAGCUCCGCAGAAGCCCUGCGGCCACGGCCACAGCCUGCUAAAACUGGGAUGGAGGAGCCAGCCCAGCCCCAAGAGCAACUGUGAUUUUUGGUUUUACGACUCAUUUCAUACCUGUGCAAUGCUGAAGACCUCACUCUGUCAUGCUGCCCCAGCGAGACAGCGAGUGGUCACCAGGCUUGCAAAUGAACUUCAGACGGGCCUCGGGGUAGGCUCUCGGGACUGAAGGAAGGCCAAGCCAUUGGGGCAGCACAGCACGUGCUGACUACUGUACUUCCAGAUUCCCUUCCCUCUGGGGGCUGCCCAGUCCUUGCACCUCAAAGUUCGCCUUUUCAUUUCAAGCAUAAGGCAGUAAACCUGCAGCAACAUGGGAGAAAUAAGUUGCUGGACCAGGAGAAAAGGCAGAUACGAAGCCAAUUCAUUUUGAAGGAAGCACAAUUUCCACCUUAUUUUUUGAACUUCGGCAGUUUCAAUGUCUGUCUCCGUUGCUUCAGGGCAUAAGCUGAUCACUGUCUAGUUGGGAAAGUAACCCUACAGGGUUUGUGGGGACAUGAUCAGUAACCUGAUUUGAAGCCUGAGAUGUUUUUUAGAUACCUUCUUGGGUCCAGUGAGGCAAUUGGUUGAAGUAGCAAGAUGCUGGCUUUUCUGUUUUUUUUGUUUUUUGUUUUUUGGCCGUGGGUUCUUCACUGACCUUGGACUUUGGCAUGAUUCUUAUUCAUACUUGAACUCGUCUCAUUCCACCUCUUCUCAGAGCAACUCUUCAUUUGAGAAAAGAGUUUUUCAGAUCGUGGACCAGAAAUAGUCAUCCCCUCGAGGUGGUGGCAGUAGAUGCCUGGAGGAGAAGGGUACUUGCUGUGUAUCCUGGGUCAGUGGUGUUGAGCACUGGUUUCCUCAGCUUCCUGUCGUUCUGUGUGCUUAUGUCUCUUGUGACAGUUGUUUUCCUCCCUGCCCCUGGAGGUUGUCUUCAAGCUGUGGACUUCUGGGAUUUACUGAUUUUGCAAUGUGGUACUACUUUUUUUUUUCUUUCUUUUUGUCUGUUGGUUAUUUCUCCAGGGGAAAAGGCAAUAAUUUUCUAAAACCCAUGUGAAUGUGAAGAAAAGCAGUAUGUUAAUGGUUGUUGUUUGUUAUAGUGUAAAAUAAAAAUUGUAAAAGAAAAAAAAAAAGGAAUACCAUGGAGAACCGUGAAAAGGCCUUUUUGCUUUGUUGUCCACUCCAGCAACUUUUUUCCACUGGUUCUAACUUUGCUGUUAUGGCCUGACAGUAAAAUACUUACCGUGAAAGCCUAGGAAAGCAGUAUUUUUCUCCAAUAUAAUUUGAUUUUGUACUCUUUGCUUUUCUUGAUAUAUCUAAUUGUUGCACUUAUAAUGUUAGACACAUUUUUUUGUUUGAUUAAAUUCAAGUGUCCUUUUAGUCAGGUCCAACUUCCAGAUUAUCUAAAUCAACACUUUAUAAGGAGAAAAAAUCACACUGCAAAAGAUUACCCUUUUGGUAGCUGGCUUAAAAUAAAAAGAUUUUACAUUUCAUCAAAAUAAA